This is a long non-coding RNA of Uranotaenia lowii, 1638 nucleotides long. RefSeq lists it as uncharacterized. The record is from RefSeq and is a predicted model, not a curated record. Lineage: Eukaryota; Metazoa; Arthropoda; Insecta; Diptera; Culicidae. The transcript is spliced from 5 exons.
AAGACGACAGUUGUUCCAAUUAUUUCAGCUUGUUAUACCAAUAAUCGAAAUGCAGUUGAUUUUUUCGCAUUCAACUUCUUAUAUAAUAGAUUCAAAUACAAACUUCUAAUUGUCCUUACGCAAUCAACUAUCAAUAUAUUGCAUUCAACUGUAUGAUUUAUUCUAUGCAUUCAACUAUAAAUACAAUAGAUUCAACUACAACCUGCUGAUUGACAUAAUGCAAUCAACUUUGAAUAUAAUAGAUUCAAUUGUAAUGGUGUAAUUGAUUCAAUUGUAAUGGUAUAAUUGAUUCAACUGUAGAUAUGAUUGAUUCAACUACAAUUGUAUGAUUGAUUUUAGGCAUUCAACUAUAAAUAUAAUAGAUCCAACUGUAGUGGUAUAAUUGAUUCAAUUGUAAAUAUGAUAGAUUCAACUGUAGUGGUAUAAUUGAUUCAAUUGUCAAUAUGAUAGAUUCAACUACAAUUGUAUCAUUGAUUUUAGGCAUUCAACUAUAAAUAUAACAGAUUCAACUGUAGUGGUAUAAUUGAUUCAACUGUAAAUAUGAUAGAUUCAACUGUAAUGGUUUUGAACUAUAAAUAUAGUAAAUAAAAUUAUAUUGUUAUGAUUGAUUGUGUGAUACUUGAAUAAAAAUGUAUUUACAUAAGUGUAGUCAGAGUGCCUUCAGCAGCAGGUGGCUGGGUGUUUACCUAUGGCAAAAACAAAAGGUCAAUUCAAUCCAGAUGCGGCAGCAGCUCAAAUCAAAACGAAGGAAUCGAUGCCGCUGGAGGAUUUGUUGGCUGGGUGGCACCGAUUGUCGUUGUCCGGCUCGAAAUGGUCCUCGUUGGCCACCAGGGAGCGGAGGCGCUGGUUGUCGCACCAACUACGGCAAGUAGUGUGUCCUGAGUAGCACGAUGGGGUAAAGUUCAUCUGUUGGAUGUGCAUCUCAUUUGAUGGCGGUGGGGACCGGUUCCGAGAAGAUGAGAUGGUGGAAGAAUUUAGUCACUGUCUGCCGGAAGCCAAAAUAACUCCGAAAUCAUUCGCAAAUCUAUAGUUCGGGUCAAAUGUGCUUACUGGUUCCGCACUGGAAGCUUCCGGAGGGCCUUCGAACAACGUCACUGGAGUCAGACCGAACAAGCAUGCUGUUUCCAUAGUACCUCCUUGAUGUAUCCGAACUGGAUGACGAAUGAGUGAUUUAAAAUAAAUUUAAAAAUUGCUAGAAACAUAAAAUUAAUUUUAAUGUAGCGAUAGAACAAAACUUAAAGCCAACUGUAUUAUAGUAAUCUUAAUAAUAUACAUAUAGUUGAAUGCCAAAAAUCAAUCAUAUAGAUAUAGUUGAAUCUAUAAUAUUUAUGAUUGAAUCAAUUAUAUUAGUAUAUUUGAAUCUAUAAUAUUUAUGAUUGAAUCAAUUAUAUUAGUAUAGUUGAAUCUACUAUACUUAUUGUUAAGUGCAUAGAAUCAAUCAUACGAUUAUAGUUGAAUUUAUCAUAUGUAUAGUUGAAUGCACAAAAUCAAUCAUACGGCUAUAAUUUAAUCUAUCAUAUGUAUAGUUGGAUGCAAAAAAUCAACCAGAUCAUCUAUUAUAUAUAUAGUUCAAAGUUUAAUAUUUAUAGUUAGCCGAGAAUUAAUCAGAAAUAUAGUUCAAUAUAGGCGGAAUAUAGU